GUCUCAAGCUAGGGGUGCCUUGCAUCGGCUGAGAUUAUACCCUGAGAACCUGAGCCUGGGUUAUACCAGCGGAGGGAAGCUGUUUAUUGAGGAA
This 94-nucleotide non-coding RNA is filed under the name Synechococcus sp. RNAcentral describes it as "TPP sequence". It matches the Rfam family "TPP riboswitch aptamer (THI element)". From Rfam's summary of the family: Vitamin B(1) in its active form thiamin pyrophosphate (TPP) is an essential coenzyme that is synthesised by coupling of pyrimidine and thiazole moieties in bacteria. The previously detected thiamin-regulatory element, thi box was extended, resulting in a new, highly conserved RNA secondary structure, the THI element, which is widely distributed in eubacteria and also occurs in some archaea. Analysis of operon structures identified a large number of new candidate thiamin-regulated genes, mostly transporters, in various prokaryotic organisms. RNAcentral also lists the same sequence under 1 other name. Lineage: Bacteria; Bacillati; Cyanobacteriota; Cyanophyceae; Synechococcales; Synechococcaceae. The record is from RNAcentral.